AAAUGCGUAUAAGACUGAGCAAUGGCGAACCAGAAAAGCCACUAGUGAUCCAUGUAGGUCGUAUUGGCGUAGAAAAGAGUUUGGAGCUUCUAAAAAGUGUAAUGGACAAAUUACCUGAAGCUCGGAUUGCUUUC
Non-coding RNA from Camelina sativa (false flax), 134 nucleotides. Lineage: Eukaryota; Viridiplantae; Streptophyta; Magnoliopsida; Brassicales; Brassicaceae. The record is from RefSeq and is a predicted model, not a curated record.